RNAcentral lists this unclassified non-coding RNA (721 nucleotides) under Hevea brasiliensis (rubber tree). Lineage: Eukaryota; Viridiplantae; Streptophyta; Magnoliopsida; Malpighiales; Euphorbiaceae. The record is from RNAcentral.
GUUUUUAACAUUAAUCAAUUAAGUUUAUGAAUGUUUCAGUAUAAAUACCUUAAAGAUUUAUUUUUAAUAAUAUAAAAAAAUUAGGAAUUAAAAAAUUUUGCAUUAAUUACUUAUUUUUUAUAAGUAUUAUUAACGUUAAAACUAUCAUUAACAAAUUCAUUGUGUUUUAAUGCUCGAGCAAAUAAUACAGAAAAUUCACAACGUAGAUGUGUAGCCGAGAAUUGGUAGGUUGAAGAUGUUUAUGUUCUUCCAAUAGAUCAUUUUCUUGAACUCAUUGAAUCAAUUCAAAGAAAAGGGAUGAUAAGAUCACAACUUGUUGAUCAUGCAUAGCUCACUAGACAGCAAAAUGGCUUUCUCAAAUUCCUUCUGGAUCGCAUAAUUUGCCAAAACAUCCUACGCACCAGUUACUAAGAGUUACAACAUAAAGUUUGAUCAAUGUACUUCCUGAGGAGAAAAACUCAGUUUCCUGUAAUGUUUUGCUUCACCCUCUCAAGUUGGGAAUGGUGAUGAGAAUUAAGUUUGAACUGUUAAAUAAGCUGGAACAAAGAAUAGCACUUAUGUUGGAGCAAUGUUCUACUUUAGAUCUCUUAGUCAGGAAUUACAACAAUACUGAUACUGUUUAUGAUGUGAGAAUUAUUAUAAGAUUGGUGAGCUAAUGGAGGAUAAGGGUAAGUAAGGGUUACCUUAUCCUCUCUUGUCCCUCAAAUCUCAAUUUUUCUUA